Phasianus colchicus (ring-necked pheasant) is the source of this 662-nucleotide long non-coding RNA. The record is from Ensembl. NCBI's taxonomy places the organism in Eukaryota, Metazoa, Chordata, Aves, Galliformes, Phasianidae.
GUUCACUUUUUGCUCCCUGCUCUCUCUACUGUGAUUUCAACUGAAAUUUUUGAUCCUAUGCGACAUGGUUACUCACUACAUCCGUGGAAUUUGGCAUACCAUUCAGCCCUAAACCUGUGUUUCACUGAAGGAGCAGUGAAGUUUGACACUGGCAUUUCUGUUGUUGCUGACAGUGAUGAUGUGCUUCUCUCUUAAGCCUGAAAGUUACACCCAAGACCUUGAUCAUGAAGAUAAUGAGCAGACUGACAACAAUCAAGGUAUUGCCAAGUAAAACAAUGACCAUAACAGUGUCUCUAACUGGGUACUGAAAGAUCUUAUAGCAGACACCUGGUUCAAGAGCUGAGGGCCAACUGAAAACAUAGGGAACCUGUAACUAUGAGUCAACCAUCUUACCUCAUAAACAGUGAGCAGCUCUACAGACCCUGGAGUACGUCUACAUGGCACCUGGCUGUAUGACAGCAUUGCCUCUUGAGGUUAUGCCCAUCACAUCUUGUCAAAAGCUGCCCUGUCAAUGCAGAUACUUGAUAAGUGAUGGAAUAACUAUACAUGUGGACUUCAAAGGAGGUGCUAUGGGAGGAGCAGCUCUUUUAGAACAAGAACCCAUGUGCAAAAUCCUGUUACAUCUGAAGAGCAGCCAAAGAAGCCUCUCACCAAUGAUAUAA